UUAUUAUAGCAAAGAAGAUACACCUGUUCCCAUACCGAACACAGAAGUUAAGCUCUUUAGCGGCAAUGGUACUUGGUGGGCAACCGCCUGGGAGAGUAG
This 99-nucleotide ribosomal RNA is filed under the name uncultured Romboutsia sp. The record is from RNAcentral. Lineage: Bacteria; Bacillati; Bacillota; Clostridia; Peptostreptococcales; Peptostreptococcaceae.